AUGACCUCGUAUUAGGGAUGUGAUAUAUAUAGAUAUCAUCAAGCCAGCCAGGUAAUGAGAAAUAUUUGAACUUUAUGACCUGCUACUAGCAAUUAACUACAACUGCAAAUUGACAUUUCCCUUUCGCUAUGGAAACCUCUUUCUCCCUCUCUAUAUGUACUUUCUUUUUAAAUGGUAAAAUUUCAAUGCACAUGGAUGACAUGGGUGAUAUCAGCUUCGUAAAUUUACGGGUCCCAAAAGAAACUGGAAGUAGACGGCUAUAACAUUUUGUUCCCUCAAAACCAAAGCGUUUUGUUUACGCAAAGUGUUCCAUACAAUGGAUCCCUUUCAGCGACAACGGAAAGCCAGUAAAUGAAUAAAUAAACGAAACACCGUCCCAUUGCCAAAGACACAGCGAUCCUUAAAACAAGUUAACGGGAUAACUGUGUUGAAAUCCUCACAGCUCUGCACACGGCGUCUGAGGAAACCUCUUCUACCUACAGGACUCGCACGGAAAUGGAUUCCAAGCCUGUCUCAUUGCUUCUGUUUAUGGCCUGCAUCACGGCGUGUUGCUGUUGGCCUAGUCCCACAGUCACAGUGACCGCGUCAAAUUUCAACUUCUGUAAUGUGAUGAACCCAUUUUACUUGGUCCGCUUCGGUUGUCCGACAGGCCCCUGGGAUCUUCAGUGCAAUUUUCAACUCCGGGUUAAAUGUAGAGGACAGUCAAGUGCUCGUGCCUGGGACUGCAAACCUCACGUAGGACCAACUUGCUGUGACUAUGUGUGCCCUUAACAACUUUGCUCUGGACUGCGUCCCAUCAUCAUUUGACUGUGAUCAUAAUUACUGAUCAUAAAGUAGCCUCUCAAUAACUAGAGUAGAAAACGAACUGAACAAUCUCGAGAAUUUUUUAUGUAUGAAAGUAUUACCAUAACCUUUGCAAGUUCUUUGUGUGAUUACUUUGUAGAGGGGGCGGGUGGGAAAAUCUAAAUAAAAUCAAUGAGAGGGAAAAAUUUGUAUUCUAUUUCACAACAUUCCCAUUCAUACUCAGUUGAAAUAAGAUAUGGGAAUAAUGAUUGACCAGCGCACCCUCGUUUAUCUGUAUCACCUUUCAAGGGUAACAUUUCCCUAUGCGAUGGACACACUUAGUUUUUGGAACACCCCAUGCUUAUUCUCCCACUCUCCCCAAACUCUAAAAUCUAAGAGGCUUAAGCUGCCACAUGUCAGACUCCCGCCUUUUCAAAAAUGUUCAACCUUUCUGCUGAGAUUAUGUGCUGUUAUCUCAUUGGCGACUUUAGCGCGGUUUCCGUAAUAAUCAAACUCAUGCUACUAGUCGAGGUUUCCCUGCUCAACUUGCAGAGAGAUUUGAUCUCGCAGUCAAAUACGUUACUCUUCUUCCGUGCCUAUGGUAUUUUAACUUAAGGCUGAGCGCAGGUCCGAAGAGGUUCCACAACAUUUAAUCUAUAUAAUGCAAAAAGUCGUAAUAAGCAAGAUCACAGUUCAAUUGACUUAUCAUUCCUUUAUGACUUUGGCAUCCUUUGCACUUGUUUUUGUUUUUGUUGUUGUUUUUCUUGUUUUCCAUUUUUUCCGUCACCGAACCUGUCACAUGCAUUGCACCUUAUAGCGUAAGCACCCAAAGUGUUCAUUCCUCUCCCUGUGGGGCAGUUAGGUGUUACUGUGCCGGUGGGAAACCGGCAGGCGGCUACGAUCCUUGGCAACUUUUCGCAUCAAGAAUUAUAACCAAUCAUCAAACAAGGGUUGUGGAAGUGUGGUUUUGGUACGUCAUAGUUUUUCCGCACUGUUUGAUGGACUAAUCAAGAGUGAUUGCUCUCCUCAUGUCGCUAGCCGUGUCUUUACAGAGUCUCAAGGACCUCAAGCCGGAAUUUCCAAUACUUCGUACUAUCAGCAGCGCGUCGUGUACACCAGGAUACGUUUGACGACUGACUUCACUGAUCCUUUGGAAACAGAUUCCUCCGACACCUUUUGUGUCAACAAUUCCUUCCCUCUUUUCUUUAGUAAAAAACACUUAGUCUUACAUAUGCAGUUCUCAAUUCAUAUAGCAUACACAUGUAAAAUGCCGAGUAGAGUGCUAUGCCGAGAGGAAUAUGAUGCAUAUAUCAUGUUAGAAAACAGCCCUAAGAAAAUACGCGCACUGAUUGGUUAAAAUCGUGUUUCUAUUA
Molecule: long non-coding RNA, 2156 nt
Filed under: Orbicella faveolata
Lineage: Eukaryota; Metazoa; Cnidaria; Anthozoa; Scleractinia; Merulinidae
Description: uncharacterized LOC110042326, transcript variant X1
Source: RNAcentral